RNAcentral lists this ribosomal RNA (468 nucleotides) under uncultured bacterium. Its description in RNAcentral is "partial 16S ribosomal RNA". It matches the Rfam family "Bacterial small subunit ribosomal RNA", at positions 28 to 507 of the family's 1533-position model. The record is from RNAcentral.
GACGAACGCUGGCGGCGUGCUUAACACAUGCAAGUCGAACGGAAAGGCCCUGCUUUUGUGGGGUGCUCGAGUGGCGAACGGGUGAGUAACACGUGAGUAACCUGCCCUUGACUUUGGGAUAACUUCAGGAAACUGGGGCUAAUACCGGAUAGGAGCUCCUGCUGCAUGGUGGGGGUUGGAAAGUUUCGGCGGUUGGGGAUGGACUCGCGGCUUAUCAGCUUGUUGGUGGGGUAGUGGCUUACCAAGGCUUUGACGGGUAGCCGGCCUGAGAGGGUGACCGGGCACAAUGGGACUAAGAUACGGCCCAGACGCCUACGGUAGGCAGCAGUGGGGAAUAUUGCACAAUGGGCGGAAGCCUGAUGCAGCAACGCCGCGUGCGGGAUGACGUCUUUCGGGUUGUAAACCGCUUUCGCCUGUGACGAAGCGUGAGUGACGGUAAUGGGUAAAGAAGCACCGGCUAACUACGUG